ACGGAAGGCAGCAGUGGGGAAUAUUGCACAAUGGGCGCAAGCCUGAUGCAGCCAUGCCGCGUGUAUGAAGAAGGCCUUCGGGUUGUAAAGUACUUUCAGUCGUGAGGAAGGUGUUAAGGUUAAUAACCUUAGCAAUUGACGUUAGCGACAGAAGAAGCACCGGCUAACUCCGUGCCAGCAGCCGCGGUAAUACGGAGGGUGCGAGCGUUAAUCGGAAUUACUGGGCUAAAGGGCACGCAGGCGGUUAAUUAAGUUGGAUGUGAAAUCCCCGGGCUUAACCUGGGAAUGGCAUUCAAGACUGGUUAGCUAGAGUCUUGUAGAGGGGGUAGAAUUCCAUGUGUAGCGGUGAAAUGCGUAGAGAUGUGGAGGAAUACCGGUGGCGAAGGCGGCCCCUGGACAAAGACUGACGCUCAUGUGCGAAAGCGUGGGGAGCAAACGAGGGAUUAGAUACC
This 452-nucleotide ribosomal RNA is filed under the name uncultured bacterium. RNAcentral's name for it is "bacterial SSU rRNA". It matches the Rfam family "Bacterial small subunit ribosomal RNA", at positions 341 to 786 of the family's 1533-position model. The record is from RNAcentral.